This 429-nucleotide ribosomal RNA is filed under the name bacterium. RNAcentral's name for it is "partial 16S ribosomal RNA". It matches the Rfam family "Bacterial small subunit ribosomal RNA", at positions 355 to 776 of the family's 1533-position model. The record is from RNAcentral.
UAGGGAAUCUUACACAAUGGACGCAAGUCUGAUGGAGCAACGCCGCGUGAGUGAAGAAGGUUUUCGGAUCGUAAAGCUCUGUUGUUGGUGAAGAAGGAUAGAGGCAGUAACUGGUCUUUAUUUGACGGUAAUCAACCAGAAAGUCACGGCUAACUACGUGCCAGCAGCCGCGGUAAUACGUAGGUGGCAAGCGUUGUCCGGAUUUAUUGGGCGUAAAGCGAGCGCAGGCGGAAUGAUAAGUCUGAUGUGAAAGCCCACGGCUCAACCGUUGAACUGCAUCGGGAACUGUCAUUCUUGAGUGCAGAAGAGGAGGGUGUAAUUCCAUGUGUAGCGGUGGAAUGCGUAGAUAUAUGGAAGAUCACCAGUGGCGAAGGCGGCUCUCUGGUCUGAAACUGACGCUGAGGCGCGAAAGCAUGGGUAGCGAACAGG